This 30-nucleotide ribosomal RNA is filed under the name Panax ginseng (ginseng). RNAcentral's name for it is "partial 18S ribosomal RNA". RNAcentral also lists the same sequence under 2 other names. Lineage: Eukaryota; Viridiplantae; Streptophyta; Magnoliopsida; Apiales; Araliaceae. The record is from RNAcentral.
UACGUAGGUGAACCUGCGGAAGGAUCAUUG